AGCAGUAGCCGCGGGGAAUACAGAGGGUGCGAGCGUUAAUCGGAUUUACUGGGCGUAAAGCGUGCGUAGGCGGCUUUUUAAGUCGGAUGUGAAAUCCCUGAGCUUAACUUAGGAAUUGCAUUCGAUACUGGGAAGCUAGAGUAUGGGAGAGGAUGGUAGAAUUCCAGGUGUAGCGGUGAAAUGCGUAGAGAUCUGGAGGAAUACCGAUGGCGAAGGCAGCCAUCUGGCCUAAUACUGACGCUGAGGUACGAAAGCAUGGGGAGCAAACAGGAUUAGAUACCCGGGUAGUCCCUGUCUCUUAUA
RNAcentral lists this ribosomal RNA (303 nucleotides) under uncultured bacterium. RNAcentral describes it as "partial 16S ribosomal RNA". It matches the Rfam family "Bacterial small subunit ribosomal RNA", at positions 507 to 808 of the family's 1533-position model. The record is from RNAcentral.